This 491-nucleotide ribosomal RNA is filed under the name uncultured bacterium. RNAcentral describes it as "partial 16S ribosomal RNA". It matches the Rfam family "Bacterial small subunit ribosomal RNA", at positions 30 to 507 of the family's 1533-position model. The record is from RNAcentral.
AUUGAACGCUGGCGGCAUGCUUUACACAUGCAAGUCGAACGGUAACAGGCCUUCGGGUGCUGACGAGUGGCGAACGGGUGAGUAAUGCAUCGGAACGUACCCAGAGGUGGGGGAUAACGCAGCGAAAGCUGUGCUAAUACCGCAUGUGAUCUGAGGAUGAAAGCGGGGACCGAGCCGCAAUUUUUGGCCUCGCCCCUUUUGGACCGCCGAUGUCGGAUUAGCUAGUUGGUGGGGUAAAGGCCUACCAAGGCGACGAUCCGUAGCUGGUCUGAGAGGACGACCAGCCACACUGGGACUGAGACACGGCCCAGACUCCUACGGGAGGCAGCAGUGGGGAAUUUUGGACAAUGGGCGCAAGCCUGAUCCAGCAAUGCCGCGUGCGGGAAGAAGGCCUUCGGGUUGUAAACCGCUUUUGGCAGGAACGAAACGGUGUCCGCUAAUACCGGGCGCUAAUGACGGUACCUGCAGAAUAAGCACCGGCUAACUACGUG